This is a long non-coding RNA of Mobula hypostoma (lesser devil ray), 321 nucleotides long. RefSeq lists it as uncharacterized. The transcript is spliced from 3 exons. Lineage: Eukaryota; Metazoa; Chordata; Chondrichthyes; Myliobatiformes; Myliobatidae. The record is from RefSeq and is a predicted model, not a curated record.
AAAGAUCAUUGGGGUCCUCAGUCACCCCAACCACAAACUGUUCCAGCUGCUACCAUCCGGGAAGCGGUACCGCAGCCUAAAAGCCAGGACCAACAAGCUCCAGGACAGCUUCUUCCAUAAGGUUCUUUUGAAGACCCUGACCUGGAGUUACACACUGACUUCGGUUCUUUGUGAGAAUGGGACCUGCUUUCAGGCUUCCAUAACCGUUCGGCAUGCCAAGGUUUCGGCCUGAGAGUCCGGCUCGAAUUUGAAAGUCUAAGAUCUUGGAGCUCUGGAGACAGGUGGAUCGAGGUUCAGUGACAUGACCAAACAUCAGAAUAA